UAGUUCCCAGCAAUGCCGCCCUAUAAAAAACGCAAACUAUGCUAGGUGUGCUCUCGGCACUUCAGGAUGAAAUUACGUAGCACGCUAGGCGUGUUCACUGGCACUGUAAAGAGGUAAAAUCAUAAUUUGACUUCUU
This is a long non-coding RNA of Aricia agestis (brown argus), 136 nucleotides long. RefSeq lists it as uncharacterized. Lineage: Eukaryota; Metazoa; Arthropoda; Insecta; Lepidoptera; Lycaenidae. The transcript has 3 exons. The record is from RefSeq and is a predicted model, not a curated record.